Molecule: ribosomal RNA, 587 nt
Filed under: Candida albicans
Lineage: Eukaryota; Fungi; Ascomycota; Pichiomycetes; Serinales; Debaryomycetaceae
Description: LSU rRNA
Rfam family: Eukaryotic large subunit ribosomal RNA
Source: RNAcentral
GAGGAAAAGAAACCAACAGGGAUUGCCUCAGUAGCGGCGAGUGAAGCGGCAAAAGCUCAAAUUUGAAAUCUGGCGUCUUUGGCGUCCGAGUUGUAAUUUGAAGAAGGUAUCUUUGGGCCCGGCUCUUGUCUAUGUUCCUUGGAACAGGACGUCACAGAGGGUGAGAAUCCCGUGCGAUGAGAUGACCCGGGUCUGUGUAAAGUUCCUUCGACGAGUCGAGUUGUUUGGGAAUGCAGCUCUAAGUGGGUGGUAAAUUCCAUCUAAAGCUAAAUAUUGGCGAGAGACCGAUAGCGAACAAGUACAGUGAUGGAAAGAUGAAAAGAACUUUGAAAAGAGAGUGAAAAAGUACGUGAAAUUGUUGAAAGGGAAGGGCUUGAGAUCAGACUUGGUAUUUUGCAUGCUGCUCUCUCGGGGGCGGCCGCUGCGGUUUACCGGGCCAGCAUCGGUUUGGAGCGGCAGGAUAAUGGCGGAGGAAUGUGGCACGGCUUCUGCUGUGUGUUAUAGCCUCUGACGAUACUGCCAGCCUAGACCGAGGACUGCGGUUUUUACCUAGGAUGUUGGCAUAAUGAUCUUAAGUCGCCCGUCUU